RNAcentral lists this ribosomal RNA (984 nucleotides) under uncultured delta proteobacterium. RNAcentral's name for it is "bacterial SSU rRNA". It matches the Rfam family "Bacterial small subunit ribosomal RNA", at positions 8 to 968 of the family's 1533-position model. Lineage: Bacteria; Deltaproteobacteria. The record is from RNAcentral.
AGAGUUUGAUCCUGGCUCAGAACGAACGCUGGCGGCGUGCUUAACACAUGCAAGUCGAACGAGAAAGGGCUCUUCGGAGCCUGAGUACAGUGGCGCACGGGUGAGUAACGCGUAGAUAACCUGUCCGGGUGUCUGGGAUAACCCACCGAAAGGUGGACUAAUACCGGAUACGCUUGUUGAUCGGAAGAGGAACAAGGAAAGAUGGCCUCUGUUGCAAGCUAUCGCACCUGGAGGGGUCUGCGUACCAUUAGCUUGUUGGUGGGGUAAUGGCCUACCAAGGCGACGAUGGUUAGCGGGUCUGAGAGGAUGAUCCGUCACACUGGCACUGAAACACGGGCCAGACUCCUACGGGAGGCAGCAGUGAGGAAUAUUGCGCAAUGGGGGAAACCCUGACGCAGCGACGCCGCGUGAGUGAGGAAGGCCUUCGGGUCGUAAAACUCUGUCAGAAGGGAAGAAAUGCAGGGAGGUUAAUACCCUUUCUGUUUGACGGUACCUUCAAAGGAAGCACCGGCUAACUCCGUGCCAGCAGCCGCGGUAAUACGGAGGGUGCGAGCGUUGUUCGGAAUCACUGGGCGUAAAGGGCGCGCAGGCGGUCUGGUAAGUCAGAUGUGAAAGCCCACGGCUCAACCGUGGAAGUGCAUUUGAAACUGCCAGACUUGAGUACCAGAGGGGAAAGUGGAAUUCCCGGUGUAGAGGUGAAAUUCGUAGAUAUCGGGAGGAAUACCGGUGGCGAAGGCGACUUUCUGGCUGGAUACCGACGCUGAGGCGCGAAAGCGUGGGGAGCAAACAGGAUUAGAUACCCUGGUAGUCCACGCCGUAAACGAUGUCAACUAGGUGUUGGGGGUGUUGAUCCCCUCAGUGCCGGAGCUAACGCAUUAAGUUGACCGCCUGGGGAGUACGGUCGCAAGAUUAAAACUCAAAGGAAUUGACGGGGGCCCGCACAAGCGGUGGAGUAUGUGGUUUAAUUCGAUGCAACGCGAAGAA